RNAcentral lists this ribosomal RNA (889 nucleotides) under uncultured bacterium. RNAcentral's name for it is "bacterial SSU rRNA". It matches the Rfam family "Bacterial small subunit ribosomal RNA", at positions 8 to 912 of the family's 1533-position model. The record is from RNAcentral.
AGAGUUUGAUCAUGGCUCAGGAUGAACCCUGGCAGGCGUGCCUAAUACAUGUAAGUCGAACGGAAGAUGUAGCAAUAUGUCUUUAGUGGCGAACGGGUGAGUAACGCGUUGGUGACCUGCCCCGAAGAGAGGGAUAACAGACCGAAAGGUUUGCUAAUACCGCGUAAUUUCCUUCUAGUUAGAGAGGAGGGAAGAAAGGCCGAAAGGCGCUUUGGGAGGGGCCUGCGUCCCAUCAGCUAGUUGGCGAGGUAAAAGCUCACCAAGGCGAUGACGGGUAGGGGACCUGAGAGGGUGACCCCCCACAAUGGAACUGAAACACGGUCCAUACACCUACGGGUGGCAGCAGUAGGGAAUAUUGGUUAAUGGGCGAAAGCCCGACCCAGCAACGCCGCGUGCACGAAGAAGGCCUUCGGGUUGUAAAGUGCUUUUUAGUGGGAUGAGGAAGGACAGUACCACUAGAAUAAGUCUCGGCUAACUACGUGCCAGCAGCCGCGGUAACACGUAGGAGACGAGCGUUAUCCGGAUUUACUGGGUGUAAAGCGCGUGCAGGCGGUCGGGUAAGUUGGAUGUGAAAGCUCCUGGCUUAACUGGGGGAGGUCGUUCAAAACUGCCGGGCUAGAGUGCAACAGAGGGGGGUGGAAUUCCGAGUGUAGCGGUAAAAUGCAUAGAUAUUCGGAAGAACACCAGUGGCGAAGGCGGCUCUCUGGGUUGCAACUGACGCUCAGACGCGAAAGCUAGGGUAGCGAACGGGAUUAGAGACCCCGGUAGUCCUAGCCGUAAACGAUGUGGACUUGGCGUGGGUGGGUUGAAAUCCAUCUGUGCCGAAGCAAACGCGAUAAGUCCACCACCUGGGGACUACGGGCCGCAAGGUUAAAACUCAAAGGAAUUG